AAACUAGAUGCAUACCAUGUAACUGAAAUCUACAUCAAAAGUCCAAAAGAAAUCAAGUAGAUGCAUUUUAAAAUGCAAAGUUUGAACCAAGAGUUACCAGAGAUGAAAACAAAUUGCAUCUUGAACAGCUACUGGAUUCUUUAUCUUCCAUAGCUCACCCGAACAUAUUUGCAUCUUGAACAGCUACUGGAUUCUUUAUCUUCCAUAGCUCACCCGAACAUAUUUGCAUCAAACUUACUGAUGUGAAAACGAGUUCAACGAAGGCUACUGGUUCAAGCAAUCAAAAUGCAAAUCCUUCAUAAGGGUCGUCGUCUUCAACUACCUGAGGCGGAGGCGAUUUCCAUGUUCGAAAACGAAUUUCACAAUGCGGAGAAGCCCUGGGAAUCUUAAGCACCUGUUCACAGAAACACGCGUUUUCUUCUAUAAGUAAGUUUUCCUGAGCGAAUACUGUUACCGCCUUCAAAACCUGUGCAUUCCCCAACAUGUAUUGCAGAAACUUUAUAUCACAUGUAUCUCCGAUGCAGUUUGAAAACUUGAUGGCUGUAAGGUUUGUUAGCAUACAAGCAGGAAUCAACUUUGGUUCUUCAGGCUUUUGUUUCUUACCCAAACAAAACAAAAAAGUUAUUUUCAAUAUUAUAUAAGGAUUAAAAAAUUUUAAACAAGCUAAGAAGAAAAAUCAGGUCAAACCUUGAAAUCCCUCCAAUCUACAAAAUCAAUAGACAAAAUUUUCAACUCGGGACAACUUUCAAGAAAUUGAAUGAUUUGUCCAGAUUCCCAUGUACCCUUCAACUCCAACUGCUUCAUGUUCGAAAAGAUGGGCAGAGGUGAAGUGAAUGGGAACUUCAACAAUGAACAAGAAAGUUACAGUUAGAAAAAAAAUCAAACUUACAAUUUCUAUUGAAAGAUUUUGAACUCCGGUUAUUUUGUUUAGUAUAUCAGCCCACAUGAAAUCAGAUGUACUUUGCCAACAUGUAAUAGAUGCCCCAACCAAAGACGACACAUCUUUCAUUUCAAAAAAGGAGCACAAUACUCCACCAACAAACAAGUAUUCAAGUUUAGGGACAUGUAAAACAAUUUUGUUUUCAUAACAGUCGGUAGCUGAAAUAUAUAUUAGUUUCAGCCGUUUCAAAGUAGGGAUGUUGAAUAUGUAAUCUUCUUCAUCAUUGGAAGAUACUUCCAAAGAUAAACUUUCAAGCACUGGGCAGCCACGAAUGAAAUUAAAUACUUCUAUGAAAGGAUUGCAAUACCCAACAAGUUCAAGAGUUUUCAGGCAAGGAAGAUAGAUUGAAGACGGAAACUCCCACACACAGUAAUCACAAACACUAAGUUCCAAUCUUAAGUUUGUGAGGGUUUUGCAGGUGAACACGCUUAAAGGCAACCUAGAUUGGAGAACACAUAUGUCAAGCUCACGGACGUUUAACCUGACGGCAUUAUCUAUCCAAUUUGAUACACUUGACCCUAUAGCAUGGUGAUAAUUAGAAAUGUGUAGUCGAAACAAUUCAACAUUAGAAGUUUUGCAAAACUUCAAUGCCCGGUCCACAAAUUUUAUGAAGUUUUUUUCAUUCCCAUCAACGAAUUUUGUAAUGAUGUUUUCAUUGGAGCGGAGACGGCGAGUAUAAUCAAAGUCCAGGUUUGUGACAGAUGUCCAAGUGUACCUCCAUCUUUUGGAUAGAACGCUAGUUCGCACAGCGUAUUUUGUAGGCAUUAGAGAGAGAAUGCGUGAAAGAACCUCUCCAGGCAACAUGCUAAGCAUGUCGUCUACGUUCUCAAUUGUGGAACUCAUUGUUUAGCUCUUAAUUUCUCCCUGAGAAACAAAACCCGUAAAUUCAAAAUCUUCCCAGUACAUUUCAUAUACGGAAAUUCACCACAAUCCAAAUGGUUGUAAAUAUUCACAGCACUUAAUGGUUUUUGAUAUGAAAACAUGUGAAAGUCAAUGUUAGUUUCAAAGUAAAAAAGUGUGAAAGUCCAGAUAUUUUAACACUAAACAUUCAAUAACUGAAAGAAGACAACCAGAUUAAUCAAUAACAACACACAGGCUCGUAUUUUAACAUAAGAACUGAAAGAAGAAACCUGAUUAAUCAGAUUCUUAAGUGCAAAGAAAAUCAAUUAGGGUUUGAGAUUGAAAAGUACAUAUAGUAAAAUUCAUGAGAAAUUUGAAUCUCAUUAAAUCUAUAGCCCAAUACAAAAAGUAGGGGGGAAAUGAACGCUAAAACGCAUAAUGCUCUGGUUGUAAAGUUAAUAGUUAAAAUAUUAUGUGUUUUAAACUUGAAAAAUAUAUAUAGAAGAGCAUUCAUUUGAAACCAAGAUUUAUGUUGAGACUGCGAGAACCGUAUCAUACGCUUAUACCUAUAGUUUUAAGUGUAACACAUAAGGCGUUUACAUAACCAGCCCACCCUGCUAACUAUUUCUCCCCUACUAGAUGAUCAAUACGCCAUGUAUAAGUGCUUUACACACCACGUAAUGCUUGUGUGCAUAUAGAUAUGGAUUUGGCCAGAAACUCAAUUUUGCCUAAAUGUGUAAAACUGAAAGCUGUAAAGGAACCGGAUCAAACAAACGAGACCUUGCUUGUGUUCGUUGAUUUAGAAUUUACCAGACAAACACAAUGAUUCAAGAACACAUAAACGAAUGAAAUAUAUUGUUUGUGUUAGUUCAUUAAAAAUGAAAUUUGUUCGUGUUAGUUUGUUAAUAUCAUAAACAAAUGCAGGUGAAUACAAUCGAACAUACAUACAACAACAAGAAGAAUUCAGAAAAUAAAAAAAAAACAAAUAAGAGGAAAUAUCAAAAAUACCACAUAAAAAACAAACAAGCAGGAAAAUGAGUAGAUUCUGCAAGUUGCUUACUGUAUAUAUCAUCAUGUGCAUAUAUAAACAAGUAGAACAAAAUAGUAACAAAACAGGCAGAGUGAUGUAAGAAACCCUAACUGACUAAUUUAAAUUUGACGGUUCUAAAUCAAAUACGAAAUCAGUGAAAAUAACUAAAACAAAGAAGAAUUAAUCGGUUUGAAAUUAAUGAAAGUCCUAAAUCGACAAAAUAAACAAACUUACGUCAGGGGGCGGAGGGCGUGGAAGCCGAAAUCAACGAAUGGAAGAAUGAAACUACGAAUUGAAGAUAUAGGGAAGCCCUAAUCGACAAAUGCCAUAACUUUUCUCUCCUUAAUUCUCCCUUCUCUUCUAUUCUUUUGU
RNAcentral lists this long non-coding RNA (3182 nucleotides) under Helianthus annuus (common sunflower). RNAcentral describes it as "hypothetical non coding rna". The record is from RNAcentral. Lineage: Eukaryota; Viridiplantae; Streptophyta; Magnoliopsida; Asterales; Asteraceae.